UACGGAGGUGGCAAGCGUUACUCGGAAUUAUUGGGUGUAAAGGGCAAGUAGGUGGUCUAAUAAGUGAGGGGUGAAAUCCUCCGGCUCAAUCGGAGAACUGCCCUUCAAACUGCUAGACUUGAGGUUGACAGGGGGAAAUGGAAUUCUCGGUGUAAGGGUGAAAUCUGUAGAUAUCGAGAAGAACACCAGCGGCGAAGGCGAUUUCCUGGGUCAAUCCUGACACUAAAUUGCGAAAGCUAGGGGAGCAAACAGA
This 253-nucleotide ribosomal RNA is filed under the name uncultured bacterium. RNAcentral's name for it is "partial 16S ribosomal RNA". It matches the Rfam family "Bacterial small subunit ribosomal RNA", at positions 524 to 776 of the family's 1533-position model. The record is from RNAcentral.